Molecule: long non-coding RNA, 331 nt
Organism: Syngnathus acus (greater pipefish)
Lineage: Eukaryota; Metazoa; Chordata; Actinopteri; Syngnathiformes; Syngnathidae
Exons: 3
Source: RefSeq, a predicted model, not a curated record
GGCUGAUUUGCUAUCCAAUGAAAAAAUUUACCAAAUGCCAGGUAAAACACUCUCAACGGAUGAAUGAUCCUCCCCUCAGACCUUGGGUAGCAAUAGCGAAAGAUGGUCAGAUCCUGUGCUGCCACUGUACCUGCAUGGCUGGAUUGGGUGAAACAUGUUCACAUUCAGCAGCAUCCCUGUUCGCCCUGGAGACAUUAAUACGUAUGAAGACGGCCACUUCAUGCACAUCACUACCUUGUCAGUGGCUGAAACCAUCAGCAUCGCACAUAGAAUAUGCUGAAGGAUGCAAUAUCGAUUUUGCCCGUCCAGCCCAGAAACGAAAGUCAGAAGU